GUAUGAAAAUUAAACAUUACAAAGAACUAGGAGAUUUUGAUCUUCAAUGGUCGAAACCCUUGAAUCUCGCCGUCUUCGAAUCCUCCGUAGUAGCUAUCUUCUCAAUGCAGUGUUUUCUUUCGUACGUAAACAUUACAAAGAACUAGGAGAUUUUGAUCUUCAAUGGUCGAAACCCUUGAAUCUCGCCGUCUUCGAAUCCUCCGUAGUAGCUAUCUUCUCAAUGCAGU
RNAcentral lists this long non-coding RNA (227 nucleotides) under Lathyrus oleraceus (garden pea). Its description in RNAcentral is "Pisum sativum (pea) long non-coding RNA (PSAT_LNC024592)". Lineage: Eukaryota; Viridiplantae; Streptophyta; Magnoliopsida; Fabales; Fabaceae. The record is from RNAcentral.